Sorghum bicolor (sorghum) is the source of this 646-nucleotide long non-coding RNA. RefSeq lists it as uncharacterized. NCBI's taxonomy places the organism in Eukaryota, Viridiplantae, Streptophyta, Magnoliopsida, Poales, Poaceae. The record is from RefSeq and is a predicted model, not a curated record. The transcript is spliced from 2 exons.
UCGUCAAAAUACACCACACCUACCCUGUUUGCCCUACUUUCUCUCUGCUACCUUGUUGUUCAUCACAUCUCAUGGCGACUUUGUCGGCAUUUCAGGUGACCUUGCCGACCCUAGGAAAACCUUCAGCGAGGCAGAUCGAUGCACAUCAGCACAUGCCAACACUAGAUAUUUUCAGCUAUGCUUCCCUUUCCUACGGUGGACGCUGCUGGGUAGUCAUGUAGCUCUGUCGCCGCCGGGGACCAGGAGAUGGAGAGAGCGAGCCUUCUGGGAUUCCAAGGAUAAGAAGAACCGUCAGGAUUCAAAGACUCAUUGUCCAUGUGGAUAAGAGCCGGCAGGAUAUUAUUUGUAGACCGUGCACUUCUGUACUUGCAAAAACGAGAAAAAUUCAACACUACUGGUGUUGACUGUGCACCAUAAUGCGACAAUGUGGCUUCUGUACCUUCUUUGUAUAUGGAAACAGCUGGGUAGAUGAAAGCAAUAUGGAGGGCUAUAUGCAUUACUGAGUAGGUGUGGUCCAUACAGGGAUCUAAAUCUCUAUGUAUACUCAUCCUGUCUAGAUGCAUUGCCACCCUACACAGCAAUUCGCGUGUGAACAUAUCCUUAGGCCUGGUUCAGGUCGCUAAAAAUUUUGGUCUUGACUACUGUA